This 1017-nucleotide long non-coding RNA is filed under the name Triticum aestivum (bread wheat). Its description in RNAcentral is "long non-coding RNA (TAES_LNC005402)". Lineage: Eukaryota; Viridiplantae; Streptophyta; Magnoliopsida; Poales; Poaceae. The record is from RNAcentral.
ACGGACAACUUGAACUUGCUCAGGUAGUUUCUCCGCAUUGACAGCUCCCCACCGGAGCGACAAUGCCCACUAUUAUUAGAAAAUCCCCAUUUUGGGAGAAAAUUAUUGCCGUCUUGAACUGCUCUAUUCAAUUAUCCUCUUUUUUCAUGAUUGCUGGUGCUAUUUGGGAGUAGUUAAUCAAUUUUGUUUUUCGAUUGGAUGUAUUUUCAGUAGAAAUAGAUGGUUUUUUACAGUUGAAAGUCCACAUGUUCAUUCAUAUGCUCUGGUAAUUUGAAUUUUGGAGAUGCUCGAGUAAAAUGUAACAAGCGUCCUUCCCUUUUUAAUUCCGUUGCUAACUUUUUGACGUGAUGCAGGAAGUAGAUGAACCUUGUACAAUACAAUAUUUGAACUUCUGUUAACAUCUGCGUUCCUUCUCGUGGUUGUUUUCUCUGAAUUUUUGCUACUACGAACACCCAUAGAGGAAGAGUAGCACCUCUGAAUCUGAAGUUCUACCUGAAACUGAACUUCUAGCAUCUUGUCCAUGGAGUCAAGGCGCUGCCUGGUGUGCCAUCUAGUUUUUGGAUGGGGCGCCGUCACGACCCAGCGUCUCCCUGAGCUCCGCAUCCCGUUCACCACCGCGGCUGUCCUGCGUCCUCACGACCUCCGCGUCCAGUCCACCAACGUCCUGCCAGUGCGUCCUGAGCAAAGCAUGGGGUUCGUGCUAAUGCGUUUGUUCGUGCACCGGUGUGUGCGUGUGUGCUGGCAUUUGUGUGUGCGCUGGGUGUGUUGCUUGCAUGUUGUGAUGUAUGAUGUAUAGAUUUUCUUUGAAAUUCAUGUUGUGAAUCCAACUAAGUUUGAACAAAAAAGAUAAUAUCACUGUAGCUUUAAAUUUGCUCCUGUACCAGAAAUCUCGCUUCCCAGCUGUUGUACUAUGUCCACUUAUGUAUUGUUUCUAAAUGGCCUUUUGUCUGAAGUUCAGUAGUACCUUUGGGUGCAAACAAGUUGAUUCAGUUUCAUGGGUCCUUCAAAACAGAUGUU